This 73-nucleotide transfer RNA is filed under the name Camelus dromedarius (Arabian camel). It matches the Rfam family "tRNA". Rfam says of the family: Transfer RNA (tRNA) molecules are approximately 80 nucleotides in length. Their secondary structure includes four short double-helical elements and three loops (D, anti-codon, and T loops). RNAcentral also lists the same sequence under 1 other name. Lineage: Eukaryota; Metazoa; Chordata; Mammalia; Artiodactyla; Camelidae. The record is from Rfam by way of RNAcentral.
GGGUAUAUAGCUCAAGUGGCAGAGCACAUGCUUAGCGUGCAGGAGGUCCUGGGUUCAAUCCCCAGUAUCUCCU